UACGUAGGGGGCAAGCGUUGUCCGGAUUUAUUGGGCGUAAAGAGCUCGUAGGUGGCUCGGCAAGUCGAAUGUGAAAGUCCAGGGCUCAACCCUGGAACGCCAUUCGAAACUGCUGGGCUAGAGGUAGGUAGAGGAGAGUGGAAUUCCUGGUGUAGCGGUGGAAUGCGCAGAUAUCAGGAGGAACACCGAUCGCGAAGGCAGCUCUCUGGGCCUUACCUGACACUAAGGAGCGAAAGCUGGGGGAGCGAACGGG
Molecule: unclassified non-coding RNA, 253 nt
Filed under: uncultured Actinomycetes bacterium
Lineage: Bacteria; Bacillati; Actinomycetota; Actinomycetes
Description: uncultured actinobacterium contains 16S-23S intergenic spacer region
Rfam family: Bacterial small subunit ribosomal RNA
Source: RNAcentral